GACGAACGCUGGCGGCGUGCCUAAUACAUGCAAGUUGAGCGCUGAAGGUUGGUACUUGUACCAACUGGAUGAGCAGCGAACGGGUGAGUAACGCGUGGGGACUCUCCUUUUGAGCAGGGGACAACAUUGGGAAACGAAUGCUAAUACCGCAUAAAAACUUUAAACACAAGUUUUAUGGUUGAAAGAUGCAAUUGCAUCACUCAAAGAUGAUCCCGCGUUGUAUUAGCUAGUUGGUGAGGUAAAGGCUCACCAAGGCGAUGAUACAUAGCCGACCUGAGAGGGUGAUCGGCCACAUUGGGACUGGGACACGGCCCAAACUCCCUCGGGGAGCAGCAAUAGGGAAUCUUCGGCAAUGGGCGGAAGUCUGACCGGGCAACGCCGCGUGAGGGAAGAAGGUUUUCGGAUCCGAAAACUCUGUUGGUAGGGAAGAACGUUGGUGAGAGUGGAAAGCUCACCAAGUGACGGUAACUACCCAGAAAGGGACGGCUAACUACGUG
This 497-nucleotide ribosomal RNA is filed under the name uncultured bacterium. Its description in RNAcentral is "partial 16S ribosomal RNA". It matches the Rfam family "Bacterial small subunit ribosomal RNA", at positions 28 to 507 of the family's 1533-position model. The record is from RNAcentral.